GUGCUUGCUUCGGCAGCACAUAUACUAAAAUUGGAACUAUACAGAGAAAAUUAGCAUGGCCCCUGUGCAAGGAUGACACGCAAAUUCGUGAAGUGUUCCAUUUUUAA
RNAcentral lists this small nuclear RNA (107 nucleotides) under Prolemur simus (greater bamboo lemur). Lineage: Eukaryota; Metazoa; Chordata; Mammalia; Primates; Lemuridae. The record is from RNAcentral.